This 114-nucleotide ribosomal RNA is filed under the name uncultured bacterium. Its description in RNAcentral is "partial 16S ribosomal RNA". It matches the Rfam family "Bacterial small subunit ribosomal RNA", at positions 1371 to 1482 of the family's 1533-position model. The record is from RNAcentral.
UUCCCGGGCCUUGUACACACCGCCCGUCACACCGCGAAAGUUGGCAAUACCCGAAGCCGGUGGCCUAACCCGCAAGGGAGGGAGCCGUCGAAGGUAGGGUCGAUGAUUGGGGUG